This 258-nucleotide ribosomal RNA is filed under the name Pseudomonas sp. ISO20_OTU581. Its description in RNAcentral is "partial 16S ribosomal RNA". It matches the Rfam family "Bacterial small subunit ribosomal RNA", at positions 30 to 289 of the family's 1533-position model. Lineage: Bacteria; Pseudomonadati; Pseudomonadota; Gammaproteobacteria; Pseudomonadales; Pseudomonadaceae. The record is from RNAcentral.
UUGAACGCUGGCGGCAGGCCUAACACAUGCAAGUCGAGCGGUAGAGAGGAGCUUGCUCCUCUUGAGAGCGGCGGACGGGUGAGUAAUGCCUAGGAAUCUGCCUGGUAGUGGGGGAUAACGUUCGGAAACGGACGCUAAUACCGCAUACGUCCUACGGGAGAAAGCAGGGGACCUUCGGGCCUUGCGCUAUCAGAUGAGCCUAGGUCGGAUUAGCUAGUUGGUGAGGUAAUGGCUCACCAAGGCUACGAUCCGUAACUG